CCUACGGGUGGCAGCAGUGAGGAAUAUUGGUCAAUGGGCGCGAGCCUGAACCAGCCAAGUCGCGUGAGGGAAGACGGUCCUAUGGAUUGUAAACCUCUUUUGUCGGGGAGCAAAAGACGCCACGCGUGGCGUUCCGAGAGUACCCGAAGAAAAAGCAUCGGCUAACUCCGUGCCAGCAGCCGCGGUAAUACGGAGGAUGCGAGGGUUAUCCGGAUUUAUUGGGUUAAAAGGGUGCGCAGGCGGAAGAUCAAGUCAGCGGGAAAAUUGUGAGGUUAAACCUCGUAGUGCCGUUGAAACUGGUUUUCUUGAGUGAGCGAGAAGUAUGCGGAAUGCGUGGUGUAGCGGUGAAAUGCAUAGAUAUCACGCAGAACUCCGAUUGCGAAGGCAGCAUACCGGCGCUCAACUGACGCUCAUGCACGAAAGUGUGGGUAUCGAACAGGAUUAGAUACCCUUGUAGUC
This 459-nucleotide ribosomal RNA is filed under the name uncultured bacterium. RNAcentral describes it as "partial 16S ribosomal RNA". It matches the Rfam family "Bacterial small subunit ribosomal RNA", at positions 338 to 795 of the family's 1533-position model. The record is from RNAcentral.